RNAcentral lists this transfer RNA (81 nucleotides) under Mychonastes homosphaera. RNAcentral's name for it is "tRNA-Leu". It matches the Rfam family "tRNA". From Rfam's summary of the family: Transfer RNA (tRNA) molecules are approximately 80 nucleotides in length. RNAcentral also lists the same sequence under 1 other name. Lineage: Eukaryota; Viridiplantae; Chlorophyta; Chlorophyceae; Sphaeropleales; Mychonastaceae. The record is from RNAcentral.
GCGCAUGUGGCGAAAUUGGCAGACGCGUCAGGUUUAGGUUCUGAUCUUUCUGAGGUACAGGUUCAAGUCCUGUCAUGCGCA